Transfer RNA from Felis catus (domestic cat), 73 nucleotides. It matches the Rfam family "tRNA". From Rfam's summary of the family: Transfer RNA (tRNA) molecules are approximately 80 nucleotides in length. Their secondary structure includes four short double-helical elements and three loops (D, anti-codon, and T loops). Further hydrogen bonds mediate the characteristic L-shaped molecular structure. tRNAs have two regions of fundamental functional importance: the anti-codon, which is responsible for specific mRNA codon recognition, and the 3' end, to which the tRNAs corresponding amino acid is attached (by aminoacyl-tRNA synthetases). tRNAs cope with the degeneracy of the genetic code in two manners: having more than one tRNA (with a specific anti-codon) for a particular amino acid; and 'wobble' base-pairing, i.e. permitting non-standard base-pairing at the 3rd anti-codon position. The record is from Rfam. NCBI's taxonomy places the organism in Eukaryota, Metazoa, Chordata, Mammalia, Carnivora, Felidae.
ACCUGGCUGGCUCAAUCAGUAGAGCAUGUGACUCUUGAUCUCUGGGUUAUGGAUUCAAGCCCCAUGUUGGGCA